UCUGGCACAACGCGCUCCCGGUACCCACCCCCGCCCGUGGUCACAGGAACGCGCCCUCGCACCCGCGCUUUCUCACCCGCAGCCGAGCACGCGCGCAGGACCGCGCGUGUCCUUCGUCCCCGAGCGGCCGCCAGGAUGUGCCCCAGGCCUCGUCCCCGCCGCGCUUGUAGCAGUGCCCCUCGCCUAGUAUGUCUUUUUUAAUUUACUGAAUUUCUUAUUCUUGUCCUUGCAAGCGGUCCUGUGUGAUACGAAGCUUCGGCACAGAUGGCCUCCCAGCGCUUCCCCAGUGUCGUUCGUGGCUGGGGUGGGGAGCAGGCGGUGAUUAGCCAGUCUGGACGCCUGGCUCCCGGCUGGGCUCCUGUGGGCGUGCUCCUGUCUGGUGGAAUCCCCUGCCCUCUCCAAAGGACCCCGGCCCGGGCGCCGUACGCCCGGCUCUCCGCCCGCUGCUUUUCGGUUCUAGACUGCGAUUCCCAGCCCGCGUUUUCCCGCCCGCCUCUAGUAGUGUAAGUUCGCGAAGCAACAGAUUUGGGCUCUGGGAAAAGCGCAUAGAGUCAUGCAGAGGAAGAAAGCUUACAGGUUGGAGUCGUCUCCAAACAGCCCCAAGAGCCACUUACGAAAAAAAAAA
This 625-nucleotide long non-coding RNA is filed under the name Marmota monax (woodchuck). Lineage: Eukaryota; Metazoa; Chordata; Mammalia; Rodentia; Sciuridae. The record is from RNAcentral.